UCUCAAGUUAUUCCAAGUGUAUUUGGUGUUGUGUGAACCAUUUGAGGUGUCACACUUGGGGCACUAGGCACUCAAGCUUCAUGAAGACUUUCUACAUCAAAGAGGUAUGUAUUCUAUCUUGUUAUAUUCAUUGUUUUGUAUGCUAGAUUAGGAUAAUACCUUGGAAGUUCUUAUUUGCAUGUAUAAUAGAGAAAACAUAGAUCCAAGGUAUUUAGGGUUGCAUGUACACUUAGGAGUGUUAGAAUGCUCAAAACCCAACAGUGGUAUCAGAGCCUAGGCUUGUUUUCUUGUUAUACCUGCAAUAGAAGCUGAAAAAACGAAUCUGGUGCUGUCUGGCCAUCAGACUCGGCGAGUCCAUCAGGAGACUCGACGAGUCCAUGCCUAAAAAGUGAUGAAUUCGAUCCAACUCGCCGAGUUGGUUCAUGCACUCGACGAGUUGGACCCCCAGACAGCAUAUUUUCGAGUUUUUUGGCUAGAAAUGGACUAGGAACAUUACCCUAAGUUGUUUUUGAACUUAUAAACUUGUUUUUGAUGUGGUAAUGUUCAUGCUAAUCCAUUUUCAAAGAUAAUUGUCAAUAGAUUCAUGUUUUGUAUUAGUUUAAGGUUUAGACUAAUUACAUGAAAAAGUUUGAUUUGAAUUAUCUUGUUCUUAUGAGUUGCUUAGAUUAAUAGAAAAGUUGAGUGAAAUAGUUGUUUUCAAUCCAUAUUAAUCUAAGAGUUGAUUCUAAAAUGUGUUUUUGUAACUUGUCCUCAAGUUAUAUGAAAAGUCACAUUUAAGUUUCAUAAAACUCAUAAAAGUUGGCAAUGGUUACAAAAUGAAGAGUCUAGUGUCAUUGAAUAAUUUUUUAUGACUCCAUAACUUGUCCUCAAGUUAUGGAAGUUCAAGAGUCACUUCAUUAAAGAAAAAUAUGUAACCAUAAUUAAAUCCAUAAGUUAUAAAAUAAAGAAAAAGUUAGUUCUUUUAUUAGUUUAAAGUCUUCCAUAACUUGUCCUCAAGUUAUGGAACUUGAAGAGUUUUUGGAUUAAAACUACUUUAAACACAUAAGUUAUGGAAUUAAUUAGUUUUGAAUAGUUUCAAAACUUGCCCUCAAGUUUUGGAAUUUGAAAAGUUUUCACUUAUGAAUACUUUAAUUCCAAGUUAGCCCUUAGAAUUUUAAAAGUUAAAAUUCAACCCUUAUACUUUAUAAUAUUAUAAGUUAAUAAUAUAUAUAUGUAUAAGAGUAAAGUCAGUCUUACCGCUAGUACGCCUCAUUCACGAAGCCGGUCUAUAAGGUGGGUAUAAGGUUGUUGCCUAUAAAAUGGCAACUUAAUGGGUGUCCACUCUCACCCACCGCUUGCUUGACUGGUGGAGGGUCGUUAGCCGAACGGGUUUGACAGGACUAGAAUUCUCCCUUCAUUAAAAGUAUUAAUGAUAAUACUAAGUAACUAAACUCUUAAUAAUACCCAAUCUUAGUUACUUAGGAAAAAUGUGAAUAAGGUGCUAAUCCAUGAAAUUACACUUUACACUUUGUCUAAGUCGUUAGUGGAGCGUGUGUGGUUAACCGGCACACUAACUUGGACUUAACAAGGUAGGUAAAGGGUGACUUAAUAUUUAUCAUAGUAUCGAUGGAGCGUGUGUGGUUAACCGGCACAUCGAUUGAGGGGUAAUUUAUUAAGGGUACCAAGUGAUUUGCAUGGUUACUUCACACCUUGUUUUGUGAUCCUCGGCAUCCCAGUCACAAAACCUGAAGGGCACACUCGAGAUUGAAACAUGCCUUUGAAAAGUUCAAUGAAUCUCAAAGAUCUAGGAGUUUCAAAACCAAUUAAAACCUAAUAAUACAUUUCGUUUAUCUUGGUGGAAAUUGGUGAAUCGUCAUUCACCUACCUUCAAAUAUUUUAUAGCUUGGAUUACGGCAUACCUCUUCUAAGUUAUAAAAUAGUUUGUUGGGUCCUAGCCUUAAUAUUUCAUAUUGGGUGUCAUAUUAAGGACUUUAAAUCAACUAUCUUGAAUAUCUCCCAAAAGAUGUCUGGUUUAGACACCUAUGAUCUUCCCAAAUCUCUUGAAACAAGGUUUCCUAAUGAAGAUGAUGUCCCAUGGAUAUCAUACUUCUUCACCUCUUCAAAUUAUUCUCCCUAACCCACAAGUUCUUGAAAAGUUUAAGGUCACUCAGGCCCUAUUGGCAAGGCAAGGUCUAGGUGUGGUCACAUCUUGGAGAUGUAGUCACAUAUUGACAAGCCGGGAGAGUUGGGUGUCAAAGUCUUGAGAAAGUUGGUGGUUCAACUACUUUCUAAGUCACAUAGUGAGUUCUUUUGGAACACCUAUGAAAAAGACUAUGACAAGACCCUUAAUGAUCUUAUCUAUUUGUUAAGAUCAACUUCCUAAAACUUUAUGGACAUUGACAAUGAUGACAUUGGAUAUCCAGUAAAGCAUUCUCUUCCCAAUGGAAAGGGAUCGGCUAUAGUCAACUCGGUUGACCAAAUGGUAAAGAGAAAAGCUAAGUCUGUGAUAGUCCUGUGUACCAUUAUCAAAGGGUCCAUAUGUUUGUAUUGCCAAAGAAAGGGCAUUGGUUGCGAAGCUGCCAAAUUUACCUAAGGAUGUUAAAGUCAAUAAGUUUGACUCUACUUCAGGUAAAAUCCACUAUCUAACUCUGUUAAGUUUCUAUUCUGAGAUUCUUGAUACAUGAUGUGACCGGGUCGCAUGGUGAUGGUUUAAGAAUCAAAGGAAAGUGAAGAAACUUAAAGGAAGAAUAUGCUGAAUCUGAUCGCAUAGAUGGAUUUCUAUCGCAUAGUUUGAAAAAUCGGAUUCUUGAGCUACUUCUUAGGAGUUAUGAGAUAUUGCUUAGGAAUAGAUAACAACAAGUUUUCAUAUGGAUUGUAAGGAUAGUUUUUCCGCAAAGUUUUAAAAUAAAAGGAAAUUUUUGAUUUUAUUUAUUUUAAAAUAUCCUUACAAUGGCAUCUGUGGAAAUUUUUGUUGCUUAUAAGAUUCCAUUAGUAGCAAGAGUGGAAGUAUGAAAUUGAUUCUUUCAUUUGUGGUAAUGUCUAAAUUUACCAAAUAAGGAAAGAUUCUCAUCACCCAAGUUUCAAUUGGACCGGAACUUGGAAUCAUGCAAGUUGUAUAGCAUGAUGAAUGAGAACUUUCAAGUUUUGGAAAAUUAAGACUAAUUACUUGUUCACAUGGAUGUGUGAGUCAAGUAAAGGACUUAGGGAUCGAGUACACAUUCUUGUGCACUGAUUAAGUCCACCACUAAAGAUCGAUAAGAAGAAUCAAAUAAGGCAGAAGGAUAAAAGUUUCUCAAAUCUGAAAAGAUGGGAGAGUACUUUAGUAUCAGUUUUGUGAUCAUCUUAAUGAUUAAGAAACCAUAUCAAAAUUAGUUCUCUAAGGAAAUCUUAGUGCAUUCUUAUGACUAAGAAGAGGAACUUGAAUUGUUGAAAUGGUUAAAUCAAGAAGAUGAGUCAUACUUCGUUCCAAUACAAGUCUUAGAGUCAUACUCCAAGAUUGUCAUUUGAGUGACAUGUCUUAAAGAAGGUUUAAAACACUUGUCAAAUGUAAGAGUAAAAGUUUUCUACUCUUGUACAUUUGAAAUUGGUAAGUUGUGAUGUUUUGGAUAAAACAAAGACCAACUUAGGCCAAUUGGGUAAAGUGUUUUUCUUGAUUAGAAUCCGCACUAUCUCUUGGAUGUUUGACAAGGGAGUCUUAUAUGUCAAGAGGACAGUGGGAGUCUUAAAGGUCUUGAAAGUCUCAAGAAAUAAUCAAGAAUAAAACCUAAAGUUCUUCACUAGCACACGACUUGAGGUUCAUAACCUAUCGUGUUGACAUAUUCUGUGCCCAUUCCAGUUAAAGUUGGUUUUGCAUAUGAGUUCUUAGAGUUCUCAAUUUGUUGCACAACAACUUGGAAGCAAUGGCAGGCCCUUGAGCUGCCAGGUGGCAAGAAGUUAAGAUUGAGUUCAAUCCAUAUGGUUUUGGAUUUGUCAUUAUCUUUGUCUUGUGAUUAUGGUUUGACAAAUUCAUAUGGGUAGGAACUCAUACACCAUAUAAAUCUAAGUGUCAUAAGGUUUCUCUCCGAUUCAUGAAAAUGAUGGUGAGGAAACGCUUUCACUAAGUAGAUUUUACGAAGAUAUCAAUUGUGUUAUUUGCAUUUUCAAAAGUCGUUAGUGGAGCGCGUGUGGUUAACCGGCACACUAACAUGGACUUGUGAGAAAUGGCAAAUGCCUAAGCAAUUGAGACCAUGAUUACGGUAUCCCUUUUCAUGGUUCUUGAAAUUGCUUAGACACACAGGUGAGCUAUCUACGGAAAGGGUGUAUGAAUCUAAAUUUCAGACUGUCCAGCUGAUUUCUGAGUACAUGUCAAAGCUAGUGGGAGCAUAAGUGUUAUGCUAAUAAUCAUCAUGUUAGUGGGAGCAUGAUAAUUAUGAUAAGUAUUGCAAGUUAGCAAUGUUAAUUAUAGAAAACAAAAGUUUCAAUUGGGAAAAAGUUGUUUUGCUAUAAUUAAGGGAGAGGAAAUUAUGCUUCAUCUCAAAUCUAUAAGCUUAGAUCGUGAGGUUUUAAUCAUUUAGUCAAGGAUAUAUAUGAAUUUCAUGUUGGAAUGGCUCAACAUAAGGAAAUUCUGUAUAUGGGUCCAUUAUUUGCGUUCUAAAAUUCGAUUAUGAUUACGGCAUCCCUUUUCAUAAUCUGAAUUAUGAGAACUUGGCAAAUUGAAAUGGAAAUAUUAUAGCAAAAGACUGGUUUAGUCUUUAUGUAAGACAUCAUGAAUCGUGUCCCAUAUGCUUCGGAUAUAGGAUCGAUUACAUGUGCUAUAUUCAUCCGUUCUAAAAUUUUCCAAAUGCCUGGGGCAUUAAGAAGGGAAAAGGUUUAGAACUGGAUAUGACUAAAAGGAUUAAACAAUUGUCGAGGACAAUCUAAGGUUUACCAAAGAUUGGUUACUCAAGGACAAUUGGAAGUAUAGUGAUAAUUCUGGAAGGACCAUAUUGACAUAAUCUGUAAGGAGGCAACUCUUGUUCAGAAGUGAUAGUCAAAAUGGAAUCUGGAAAUGUUUCAAAGUUAGAAUUUUCAAUCUGUGUAAGAUUAAGGAAACUUAAUGCAAGAAGGAUAUUUCCAAGGAGUUGAUCUCCUUUGGAAUACUCUGUAAUGAUUGUUGCCAAGUCUUUGUGACUUUGUGCAUAAUCAUUACAAGAGGAUCAAUGCAUAUAAGUUUAGAAUCUAACAGAUUUCAGUAAAUGGCAUGAAUUUGGAAUUCUUGCAUUUGCAGUAAGGAUUUGGGAGUGUGAAAAGAGAAUCAUUGAAGUUAUGUUCAAUUGAUCUAGUUCACAAAGUAAAGAUCAUAGACAAACAUAGUAUGCAUACUUGGUGUGUGGCAUGACUAGUGUUUAAGAAAACAUAGUGUACAUGCUUGGAGCAUGGGACAACUAUUGUUUUAAAUUCAAGAAUAAAGUUGAUAGCUGAAACAGUAUACAAUGAAUAAUGUGUAAUCAUAUGGUGAUAAAUAAAAGGUGUUUUAUUUAUGUUCAAAGGGUUGAUACCAUAUUGGAUUCAAUUAUUAUUGUGUUUCAUUUUGCAUGUUUUGACUUCCCGAAUAAACUGGGUUAUUCUUCCGGAAUGACUAAGUUAUUCAAACCAUCCACAGUCGGUCAUAUGUUGGAAGUAGAUAUGAAUUAAGACUGUCAUGGGUUGGCUUGUAGAGGUCUAAGGUGUUGGACAAAGGGCUACAACACUCAUGAGUGCUCAUAAGUUCUGAGUAUUGGAUUCAACCCGCGCUCAUUGGAAUCACUUCAUGGAUUUUAUCACGAGUGAUCAUGAGACGAUAAUAUCUUAUAUUCUUCAAACCUAGAGAUAUGAGUUGUUACUAUGAGUUGAUAGUACAUUGAUUGCACGAAAACGCAUUUGGUAACUCGGUGCUAUAAAACGUGCCUUUGUGUAUGAUUCAACAAGUAGUAGAACAAGCCAUAUGAGUCGAAGUUUAUCCAUUCCUUUUACCUUCGGGAUAAAAGCGAUAUCUGUGGGCCCCUCGAUGAUUUGAUGAUGACAAAUGGAAGUGCUCGGCCGGGCCAGGACUGAUUUGAUUUGUUCAAUUAGUCAGUCGUCAUAAAUCGGAAAUCGGGAAACAACAAAUGGACAGAGAGAAUGAUUAUAAUCCAUGUCUCAGUCCAUAUGAUAUCUAGAAUGGAGGAAUAUAUGAUCCCUUAUCUAAUGGACAAGUCAUUGACAAAGGUCAGAGUUCAUCUACAAGGUCAGAGUUCGACAGAAGCUUUUGAGAGCUACGAUUGCCAGUUGGUUCCUGAAGUCAUACGCAAUAAUAGUUUUAGACUUAUCCAAGUGGGAGACUGUUGGAUUAAUGUCUAAGUCCAUAACUAUAAUUGGUAAGACUUGACCCGACCCGGCAUGGUCCAUUUGGGUUGCAUGGCAUCAUGCACUUGGAUAGACUAUAAUGAGAGAAAUAAGACACUUAUGGUUAUUAAUAUAUUAUAAGUUCUAGUAUAUUAAUAAUAAGAAUAAUAAGAUUAUUUAAUUAGUAUUGAUCAAGAAUUAAUCUAGGAUUAAUUAAGUGAUCAAAAGAAGACUAAUUAAAUAUAUGGGUUGAUUGUGUAAAUCAUCCAUACUUGUAUAGUGGGCUAAUGCUCCAUGGAUAAUCAAGUUGGGCUAAAACCCAUAGGAUGGUCCAUGGAUGCUCCAUGGUGUAUUUGAACCCAUGGAUCCAAGGAAAUGGAAAGUCAUGACAAUUAGGGUUUACCCUAAUUGUAACACUAUAUAAAGAUCUUAAUCUUGACAAAAUCGGCCACUAGUAUCAAUCUAGAGAAGGGCUAGCCGAUUUCAUGAAGUGUAGAUUUCUCUCAAGUUAUUCCAAGUGUAUUUGGUGUUGUGUGAACCAUUUGAGGUGUCACACUUGGGGCACUUGGCACUCAAGCUUCAUGAAGACUUUCUAUAUGAAAUAGGUAUGUAUUCUAUCUUGUUAUAUUCAUUAUUUUAUAUGCUAGAUUAGGAUAAUACCUUGGAAGUUCUUAUUUGCAUGUAUAAUAGAGAAAACAUAGAUCCAAGGUAUUUAGGGUUGCAUGUACACUUAGGAGUGUUAGAAUGCUCAAAACCCAACANNNNNNNNNNNNNNNNNNNNNNNNNGCCUUAGACCCAUCCACACAAAUGGAAACUCACCUGGUACUGCUGAACUUGCUGGUAACCCCUCUGGAUGAUGACCGACAAAUCCCUGAACUGCUGCUCCACUAGCUCCCCGAGCUACCAAUGCCAAAACAUAUAACACUUAGCUUAACUGUUCUCCAAAAGUCAACUAAGUCAGCUCUGGUCAAAGUCAACCUUCCAGGUCAACCCUACUCGCCGAGUUCAUUAGCUCAUUAUCCUUUCAUUCGCGACUCGACUCACCGAGUCUACCGAUUUCCGAUUCCUGACAUGUCCAACUC
RNAcentral lists this long non-coding RNA (7382 nucleotides) under Lactuca sativa (garden lettuce). RNAcentral's name for it is "long non-coding RNA (LSAT_LNC006188)". The record is from RNAcentral. Lineage: Eukaryota; Viridiplantae; Streptophyta; Magnoliopsida; Asterales; Asteraceae.